Molecule: unclassified non-coding RNA, 362 nt
Filed under: uncultured fungus
Lineage: Eukaryota; Fungi
Description: partial contains ITS1, 5.8S rRNA and ITS2
Source: RNAcentral
AACGCAACUUGCACUUGGCGUCAAACCCAAGUAUGCCUGUUUGAGUAUCAUUUUAUUCCAUCUCAUCCACACAUAUUAUAUAUAUGUGAGAUAUGAUGAGGAACUUGAGUGUUUGAUAAUCAUAUUAUCAUCACUUUAAAUGCAUAGUAUAUUAUUUGGUGUAUCAUUGGUGUAAAAGCCUCUACAGAUAUAAUAGCAUUGUCAGGAUCUUAAAAUCAUCCCUAUGCUCUUUUUACCUGUAGUGUAUAUAGCUGUUAUCCUGCGACACCAUCUUCCGCUCAUAACACUUUAGCUCUGUUGUAGAUGGAAGAAAAUCAUAAUUCUAUGAUCUCAAAUCAGGCAAGACUACCCGCUGAACUUAA